GUGGGGAAUCUUGCGCAAUGGGCGAAAGCCUGACGCAGCCAUGCCGCGUGAAUGAUGAAGGUCUUAGGAUUGUAAAAUUCUUUCACCGGGGACGAUAAUGACGGUACCCGGAGAAGAAGCUCCGGCUAACUUCGUGCCAGCAGCCGCGGUAAUACGAAGGGUGCUAGCGUUGCUCGGAAUUACUGGGCGUAAAGGGCGCGUAGGCGGACAGCUUAGUCAGAGGUGAAAGCCCAGGGCUCAACCUUGGAAUUGCCUUUGAUACUGGCUGUCUUGAGUUUGGGAGAGGUGAGUGGAACUCCGAGUGUAGAGGUGAAAUUCGUAGAUAUUCGGAAGAACACCAGUGGCGAAGGCGACUCACUGGCCCAAUACUGACGCUGAGGCGCGAAAGCGUGGGGAGCAAACAGGAUUAGAAACCCCAGUAGUCC
RNAcentral lists this ribosomal RNA (425 nucleotides) under uncultured bacterium. RNAcentral's name for it is "partial 16S ribosomal RNA". It matches the Rfam family "Bacterial small subunit ribosomal RNA", at positions 354 to 796 of the family's 1533-position model. The record is from RNAcentral.